GCCAGCGUAAUGCAGUGGUUUGAACCUUGGAUUCUGACUCUGGCGGGCAGGGUUCAAAUCCCUGCUUGGCC
Molecule: non-coding RNA, 71 nt
Organism: Phrynosoma platyrhinos (Desert horned lizard)
Lineage: Eukaryota; Metazoa; Chordata; Lepidosauria; Squamata; Phrynosomatidae
Source: the annotation of a GenBank genome assembly